UAGGCUUGCUAAAUUUUGGCGGCGACCGGCCGAUGGGGUGAGUAACACGUAUGCAACCUACCUUUAACACGGGCAUAACCCGGAGAAAUCCGGACUAAUUCCCGAUAACACAGAGGCUCCGCAUGGAGAUAUUUGUUAAAGAUUUAUUGGUUAAAGAUGGGCAUGCGCUCCAUUAGCUAGUUGGUGAGGUAACUGCUCACCAAGGCAACGAUGGAUAGGGGAACUGAGAGGUUUAUCCCCCACACUGGGACUGAGACACGGCCCAGACUCCUACGGGAGGCAGCAGUGAGGAAUAUUGGUCAAUGAGGGCAACCUUGAACCAGCCAAGUCGCGUGAAGGAUGACUGUCCUAAGGAUUGUAAACUUCUUUUAUAUGGGAAUAAUUGUAGCCACGUGUGGUUAUUUGCAUGUACCAUAUGAAUAAGGAUCGGCUAACUCCGUGCCAGCAGCCGCGGUAAUACGGAGGAUCCAAGCGUUAUCCGGAUUUAUUGGGUUUAAAGGGAGCGCAGGCGGAGGUGCAAGCGUGCCGUGAAAGCGCGGGGCUCAACCCCGUACAGCGGCGCGAACUGCUCCCCUUGGUUGCGGGAAGGGAAGGCGGAACUCGUGGUGUAGCGGUGAAAUGCAUAGAUAUCACGAAGAACUCCGAUCGCGAAGGCAGCCUUCCGGCCCGUCAACGACGCUCAUGCUCGAAGGCGCGGGUAUCAAACAGGAUUAGAUACCCUGGUAGUCCGCGCAGUAAACGAUGGACACUCGGGAUUUGGGCCUUUUGCCUGAGUCCCCCAGCGAAAGCGUUAAG
RNAcentral lists this ribosomal RNA (795 nucleotides) under uncultured bacterium. RNAcentral's name for it is "bacterial SSU rRNA". It matches the Rfam family "Bacterial small subunit ribosomal RNA", at positions 65 to 864 of the family's 1533-position model. The record is from RNAcentral.